Molecule: long non-coding RNA, 1533 nt
Filed under: Androctonus crassicauda
Lineage: Eukaryota; Metazoa; Arthropoda; Arachnida; Scorpiones; Buthidae
Source: RNAcentral
CACUUAUUCAUUCGAAUAUUUAAAUAAUUUAGUUAUUUUUUUUCAAUUAAAAUUAAGCGUAUUGGCGUGUCUUUAUGCGAGAACUUUUAAAAAUCCUUUUAAAGCCGAAAUGUAUCAAUUAUCCUAUUGAUAUUACGUUUCAAAAGCAUUUUCAGAGACGUCAAAAAUGGCACUUGACACUUGUUGGAAUUCCGUUUAUAGAUUGCAUCAAACUAAUUGAUUAGCAGUCUAUUUAUACUCCUGCCAUAUCGAUAGGCCGUAUCGUUUCCUCAUUAAUUUGUUUUCCUCCGCUUCGUUAAAACCAUCUUUUUUUUUUAUCAAUUUUUCGUUUAAUUCCCGUUCGUGUCGAAUAUACAAACGCUACGGUACAAUAAAGAAAGUACAAAAAGAAUAUUACUUGGUAAGUAGAAAAUGCGAUAAUCAUUAGGCAACGCCUACAGUACCACGCAUUUAAUAACAAUCUUUUGAUGGCCUUUUCCUUCUGAAAACUAUUAAGAAGAAAAUCGAUGAAGAAUAUUAUUGCGUAAUAAACGGUCCUAACUGUGUUGCGUCCGAUUUUCCUACGUCUCGACUGUAUGCAACCGUUUCUACGUAAGGAAACCGGAUAGGUUUUAACGAAUAACGCGUUACCACGUUGGCAUUCUAAGCUGUUGCACCGCUCCAGCAACAUGAAGGGAAUGGAAUUUUUUUUGUUAUUUUUAGCAAAUUAGGGGAAAAUUUUCAUUAUUUUCUGAUGUCGAUCCAAACAGUCGAUAAUAAGCGACCGCUUUGAACUUGGAACCGGUUGUUAAAAAUGCUGGUGGACGGGCGAUUUCACGCACUUCUAGACGAAAUUCCUGAUAGCGUUAAACGUCGAAAAAACAGAAAAAGAUGCGAAAUCGAAGAAUUAAUUGAUAAUAUCCGUUUAAUAUAAAUAUGUAUAUAUAUACAUUAGUGUGAUUAUAUAUAAACGGUUUACGGUAUGUAUUCGGUGAACCGCAUUCGAUUCGGAGAAACUGAUUUCCAUUAACACUUCUGUUAAACAUAAUAUUCUCGUGUUAUCGUUAUAAUUAAUGAGAUGUUAUCGUACCUAUCGCAUUUGAUGAAGCCCAGCUUUUAUAUUUCGCUUAACGUGUGUGUCCGAAAGCCGCCAAUAUACGGAUUUAAUACGUUCGAAGAAUAAUGGCGAGUAGUAGUAGUUUUGAUUAGCAAUAAGUUAGCGAUACUUCACUUUUAUCGAUCGCUCUCUCGCUACGUUUUCGCGAUUUGCAGAACUUUGAUCCGGUUUAAGUUUGGUUGAUAAAUUAAAAUGCCACGUCGUAUCGCAAUCGCUAAAGCAGGAGGCGGGCGAACUUUUCUGACCGCGGACUUCUGUAAGGUCUCUAUCGGGCCGCAUAUUAAAAUAUUUUAUUUUCACUUUUUGAUACACGAGGUACUCAUAGUAGAGAAAAAUAUUGCGAUCAUGCCGGAAACCAGCGUUUUAUUUUCAACGAAUUUUCGCGCUCUCUAUCACAACUACUGCCUCAAAAUCCGUUGUCCCCAAUAGGUUACAUA